CUCCUUAUCCUGGGGUGGUCUCUUUC
RNAcentral lists this non-coding RNA (26 nucleotides) under Rattus norvegicus (Norway rat). The record is from RNAcentral. Lineage: Eukaryota; Metazoa; Chordata; Mammalia; Rodentia; Muridae.